AGCGAACGCUGGCGGCAGGCCUAACACAUGCAAGUCGAACGAACUCUUCGGAGUUAGUGGCGGACGGGUGAGUAACACGUGGGAACGUGCCUUUAGGUUCGGAAUAACUCAGGGAAACUUGUGCUAAUACCGAAUGUGCCCUUCGGGGGAAAGAUUUAUCGCCUUUAGAGCGGCCCGCGUCUGAUUAGCUAGUUGGUGAGGUAAAGGCUCACCAAGGCGACGAUCAGUAGCUGGUCUGAGAGGAUGAUCAGCCACAUUGGGACUGAGACACGGCCCAAACUCCGACGGGAGGCAGCAGUGGGGAAUCUUGCGCAAUGGGCGAAAGCCUGACGCAGCCAUGCCGCGUGAAUGAUGAAGGUCUUAGGAUUGUAAAAUUCUUUCACCGGGGACGAUAAUGACGGUACCCGGAGAAUAAGCACCGGCUAACUUCGUGCCAGCAGCCGCCGUAA
RNAcentral lists this ribosomal RNA (449 nucleotides) under uncultured bacterium. RNAcentral's name for it is "partial 16S ribosomal RNA". It matches the Rfam family "Bacterial small subunit ribosomal RNA", at positions 29 to 523 of the family's 1533-position model. The record is from RNAcentral.